Molecule: transfer RNA, 20 nt
Filed under: Aepypodius arfakianus (wattled brush turkey)
Lineage: Eukaryota; Metazoa; Chordata; Aves; Galliformes; Megapodiidae
Also listed under: 1 other name
Description: partial tRNA-Met
Source: RNAcentral
UUCAACUCCCUCUCCUGCUA